ACACUAUCAUUAACUGAAUCCAUAGGUUAAUGAGGCGAACCGGGGGAACUGAAACAUCUAAGUACCCCGAGGAAAAGAAAUCAACCGAGAUUCCCCCAGUAGCGGCGAGCGAACGGGGAGCAGCCCAGAGCCUGAAUCAGUGUGUGUGUUAGUGGAAGCGUCUGGAAAGGCGCGCGAUACAGGGUGACAGCCCCGUACACAAAAAUGCACAUACUGUGAGCUCGAUGAGUAGGGCGGGACACGUGGUAUCCUGUCUGAAUAUGGGGGGACCAUCCUCCAAGGCUAAAUACUCCUGACUGACCGAUAGUGAACCAGUACCGUGAGGGAAAGGCGAAAAGAACCCCGGCGAGGGGAGUGAAAAAGAACCUGAAACCGUGUACGUACAAGCAGUGGGAGCCUCUUUAUGGGGUGACUGCGUACCUUUUGUAUAAUGGGUCAGCGACUUAUAUUCUGUAGCAAGGUUAACCGAAUAGGGGAGCCGAAGGGAAACCGAGUCUUAACUGGGCGUUAAGUUGCAGGGUAUAGACCCGAAACCCGGUGAUCUAGCCAUGGGCAGGUUGAAGGUUGGGUAACACUAACUGGAGGACCGAACCGACUAAUGUUGAAAAAUUAGCGGAUGACUUGUGGCUGGGGGUGAAAGGCCAAUCAAACCGGGAGAUAGCUGGUUCUCCCCGAAAGCUAUUUAGGUAGCGCCUCGUGAAUUCAUCUCCGGGGGUAGAGCACUGUUUCGGCAAGGGGGUCAUCCCGACUUACCAACCCGAUGCAAACUGCGAAUACCGGAGAAUGUUAUCACGGGAGACACACGGCGGGUGCUAACGUCCGUCGUGAAGAGGGAAACAACCCAGACCGCCAGCUAAGGUCCCAAAGUCAUGGUUAAGUGGGAAACGAUGUGGGAAGGCCCAGACAGCCAGGAUGUUGGCUUAGAAGCAGCCAUCAUUUAAAGAAAGCGUAAUAGCUCACUGGUCGAGUCGGCCUGCGCGGAAGAUGUAACGGGGCUAAACCAUGCACCGAAGCUGCGGCAGCGACACUAUGUGUUGUUGGGUAGGGGAGCGUUCUGUAAGCCUGUGAAGGUGUGCUGUGAGGCAUGCUGGAGGUAUCAGAAGUGCGAAUGCUGACAUAAGUAACGAUAAAGCGGGUGAAAAGCCCGCUCGCCGGAAGACCAAGGGUUCCUGUCCAACGUUAAUCGGGGCAGGGUGAGUCGACCCCUAAGGCGAGGCCGAAAGGCGUAGUCGAUGGGAAACAGGUUAAUAUUCCUGUACUUGGUGUUACUGCGAAGGGGGGACGGAGAAGGCUAUGUUGGCCGGGCGACGGUUGUCCCGGUUUAAGCGUGUAGGCUGGUUUUCCAGGCAAAUCCGGAAAAUCAAGGCUGAGGCGUGAUGACGAGGCACUACGGUGCUGAAGCAACAAAUGCCCUGCUUCCAGGAAAAGCCUCUAAGCAUCAGGUAACAUCAAAUCGUACCCCAAACCGACACAGGUGGUCAGGUAGAGAAUACCAAGGCGCUUGAGAGAACUCGGGUGAAGGAACUAGGCAAAAUGGUGCCGUAACUUCGGGAGAAGGCACGCUGAUAUGUAGGUGAAGCGACUUGCUCGUGGAGCUGAAAUCAGUCGAAGAUACCAGCUGGCUGCAACUGUUUAUUAAAAACACAGCACUGUGCAAACACGAAAGUGGACGUAUACGGUGUGACGCCUGCCCGGUGCCGGAAGGUUAAUUGAUGGGGUCAGCCGCAAGGCGAAGCUCUUGAUCGAAGCCCCGGUAAACGGCGGCCGUAACUAUAACGGUCCUAAGGUAGCGAAAUUCCUUGUCGGGUAAGUUCCGACCUGCACGAAUGGCGUAAUGAUGGCCAGGCUGUCUCCACCCGAGACUCAGUGAAAUUGAACUCGCUGUGAAGAUGCAGUGUACCCGCGGCAAGACGGAAAGACCCCGUGAACCUUUACUAUAGCUUGACACUGAACAUUGAGCCUUGAUGUGUAGGAUAGGUGGGAGGCUUUGAAGCGUGGACGCCAGUCUGCGUGGAGCCGACCUUGAAAUACCACCCUUUAAUGUUUGAUGUUCUAACGUGGACCCGUGAUCCGGGUUGCGGACAGUGUCUGGUGGGUAGUUUGACUGGGGCGGUCUCCUCCUAAAGAGUAACGGAGGAGCACGAAGGUUGGCUAAUCCUGGUCGGACAUCAGGAGGUUAGUGCAAUGGCAUAAGCCAGCUUGACUGCGAGCGUGACGGCGCGAGCAGGUGCGAAAGCAGGUCAUAGUGAUCCGGUGGUUCUGAAUGGAAGGGCCAUCGCUCAACGGAUAAAAGGUACUCCGGGGAUAACAGGCUGAUACCGCCCAAGAGUUCAUAUCGACGGCGGUGUUUGGCACCUCGAUGUCGGCUCAUCACAUCCUGGGGCUGAAGUAGGUCCCAAGGGUAUGGCUGUUCGCCAUUUAAAGUGGUACGCGAGCUGGGUUUAGAACGUCGUGAGACAGUUCGGUCCCUAUCUGCCGUGGGCGCUGGAGAACUGAGGGGGGCUGCUCCUAGUACGAGAGGACCGGAGUGGACGCAUCACUGGUGUUCGGGUUGUCAUGCCAAUGGCACUGCCCGGUAGCUAAAUGCGGAAGAGAUAAGUGCUGAAAGCAUCUAAGCACGAAACUUGCCCCGAGAUGAGUUCUCCCUGA
Molecule: ribosomal RNA, 2649 nt
Filed under: Escherichia coli
Lineage: Bacteria; Pseudomonadati; Pseudomonadota; Gammaproteobacteria; Enterobacterales; Enterobacteriaceae
Description: partial 23S ribosomal RNA
Rfam family: Bacterial large subunit ribosomal RNA
Source: RNAcentral